GAUGAACGCUGGCGGCGUGCUUAACACAUGCAAGUCGAACGAAGCACUUUAUUUGAUUUCCUUCGGGACUGAUUAUUUUGUGACUGAGUGGCGGACGGGUGAGUAACGCGUGGGUAACCUGCCUUGUACAGGGGGAUAACAGUUGGAAACGGCUGCUAAUACCGCAUAAGCGCACGGCAUCGCAUGAUGCAGUGUGAAAAACUCCGGUGGUAUAAGAUGGACCCGCGUUGGAUUAGCUAGUUGGUGAGGUAACGGCCCACCAAGGCGACGAUCCAUAGCCGACCUGGGAGGGUGACCGGCCACAUUGGGACUGAGACACGGCCCAAACUCCUACGGGAGGCAGCAGUGGGGAAUAUUGCACAAGGGGCGAAAGCCUGAUGCAGCGACGCCGCGUGAGCGAAGAAGUAUUUCGGUAUGUAAAGCCCUAUCAGCAGGGAAGAUAAUGACGGUACCUGACUAAGAAGCACCGGCUAAAUACGUG
RNAcentral lists this ribosomal RNA (481 nucleotides) under uncultured bacterium. Its description in RNAcentral is "partial 16S ribosomal RNA". It matches the Rfam family "Bacterial small subunit ribosomal RNA", at positions 28 to 507 of the family's 1533-position model. The record is from RNAcentral.